Molecule: ribosomal RNA, 891 nt
Filed under: Triticum aestivum (bread wheat)
Lineage: Eukaryota; Viridiplantae; Streptophyta; Magnoliopsida; Poales; Poaceae
Description: partial small subunit ribosomal RNA
Source: RNAcentral
AUGCAGGUGAACGGAAGACGCGCGGACGUCCGGUUUCGGGUGCGCGGCCGAAACUUCCGCGCGCAAAGCUCUAUCCUGGCGGAGCGGUCGCCCGUCUUCGAAGCGCAGCUCUUUGGCCCCAUGGCGGAGAAGGACAUGCGGCACAUCAAGGUUGUCGGCAUGAGGCCAGCCAUCUUCAAGAUGAUGCUUCGCUAUAUCUAUACGGACUCACUGCCGUCAUGCAACGACCAAGGCGGCCGCAGCGCUGCGGUGAUGCAGCGUUUGCUUGUCGCGGCGGACAGGUACGGGCUGGACAGGCUGAAGCUCAUGUGCGAGGAAGAGCUGUGCCGGAGGAUCGACGCACAGACCAUCAUGUUCAUGCACGCGCUCGCAAAUCGGCACCAUUGUCAUCGGCUCAAGCAUGCAUGCCUCCAGUUUCUUACGUGGUCGCCGGAAGUCCUAGGCACCGUCCUUGAGAGUAGCGGGUUCAACGAGCUCUGCAUGACAAAUUACCGACCAUUGCCUCUGGAGGGGGAUCAUGUCCCGGGGACAAAUAAGCUGGUGCGUGUACGGGAGACCAUGUCGUCAAGCAGCUUCAAGGAGCACACGGACACACUCAGUUUGGAGGUGCCCGACUACCUGCAGGUUAAGGACAUGGGCGUCGGCGAGUUCGUUAGCUCGCGCGUCUUCCCGGUCGGUGGCUACGAGUGGGAGAUGAGGUUCUACCCAGGCGGAAAAGACUGGCACUGUGCCGGCAACGCCUCCGCGUACGUGUUCAGCCGCAGCCAAGUCAAGGACGUGAGCACCCGGUUCACGUUGAGCAUGCUGCACACCAAGGGCCAGGUGCAGGUAGCAAGCUUCGACCCGAGGAAGCGCGUCUUCUCGCCAAAAGCAACGAGAUACGACGAGUGA